This 445-nucleotide ribosomal RNA is filed under the name uncultured organism. RNAcentral's name for it is "partial 16S ribosomal RNA". It matches the Rfam family "Bacterial small subunit ribosomal RNA", at positions 335 to 797 of the family's 1533-position model. The record is from RNAcentral.
ACUCCUGCGGGAGGCAGCAGUGGGGAAUAUUGGACAAUGGGCGCAAGCCUGAUCCAGCCAUGCCGCGUGAGUGAUGAAGGCCCUAGGGUUGUAAAGCUCUUUCACCGGUGAAGAUAAUGACGGUAACCGGAGAAGAAGCCCCGGCUAACUUCGUGCCAGCAGCCGCGGUAAUACGAAGGGGGCUAGCGUUGUUCGGAUUUACUGGGCGUAAAGCGCACGUAGGCGGACUAUUAAGUCAGGGGUGAAAUCCCGGGGCUCAACCCCGGAACUGCCUUUGAUACUGGUAGUCUUGAGUUCGAGAGAGGUGAGUGGAAUUCCGAGUGUAGAGGUGAAAUUCGUAGAUAUUCGGAGGAACACCAGUGGCGAAGGCGGCUCACUGGCUCGAUACUGACGCUGAGGUGCGAAAGCGUGGGGAGCAAACAGGAUUAGAUACCCUAGUAGUCCC